AUACAGAGGUGGCAAGCGUUGUUCGGAUUUAUUGGGCGUAAAGGGUCCGUAGGCGGCCUGGAAAGUCGGAUGUGAAAUCUCACAGCUCAACUGUGAAACUGCAUUCGAAACUCUCAGGCUAGAGUGUGAGAGGGGUGAAGAGAAUUCCCGGUGUAAGGGUGAAAUCUGCAGAUAUCGGGAGGAAAACCAGUCGCGAAGGCGCUUCACUGGCUCACUACUGACGCUGAGGGACGAAAGCUAGGGUAGCCAACGGGAUUAGAAACCCCAGUAGUCC
Molecule: ribosomal RNA, 274 nt
Filed under: uncultured bacterium
Lineage: Bacteria
Description: partial 16S ribosomal RNA
Rfam family: Bacterial small subunit ribosomal RNA
Source: RNAcentral